AGUGAACGCUGGCGGUAGGCCUAACACAUGCAAGUCGAACGGCAGCACAGUAAGAGCUUGCUCUUACGGGUGGCGAGUGGCGGACGGGUGAGGAAUACAUCGGAAUCUACUUUUUCGUGGGGGAUAACGUAGGGAAACUUACGCUAAUACCGCAUACGACCUACGGGUGAAAGCAGGGGAUCUUCGGACCUUGCGCGAUUGAAUGAGCCGAUGUCGGAUUAGCUAGUUGGCGGGGUAAAGGCCCACCAAGGCGACGAUCCGUAGCUGGUCUGAGAGGAUGAUCAGCCACACUGGAUCUGAGACACGGUCCAGACUCCUACGGGAGGCAGCAGUGGGGAAUAUUGGACAAUGGGCGCAAGCCUGAUCCAGCCAUACCGCGUGGGUGAAGGAGGCCUUCGGGUUGUAAAGCCCUUUUGUUGGGAAAGAAAAGCAGCAGGUUAAUACCCCGCUGUUCUGACGGUACCCAAAGAAUAAGCACCGGCUAACUUCGU
Molecule: ribosomal RNA, 491 nt
Filed under: uncultured bacterium
Lineage: Bacteria
Description: partial 16S ribosomal RNA
Rfam family: Bacterial small subunit ribosomal RNA
Source: RNAcentral